RNAcentral lists this ribosomal RNA (1530 nucleotides) under Salmonella enterica subsp. enterica serovar Oranienburg. RNAcentral describes it as "bacterial SSU rRNA". It matches the Rfam family "Bacterial small subunit ribosomal RNA". RNAcentral also lists the same sequence under 2 other names. Lineage: Bacteria; Pseudomonadati; Pseudomonadota; Gammaproteobacteria; Enterobacterales; Enterobacteriaceae. The record is from RNAcentral.
AGAGUUUGAUCAUGGCUCAGAUUGAACGCUGGCGGCAGGCCUAACACAUGCAAGUCGAACGGUAACAGGAAGCAGCUUGCUGCUUUGCUGACGAGUGGCGGACGGGUGAGUAAUGUCUGGGAAACUGCCUGAUGGAGGGGGAUAACUACUGGAAACGGUGGCUAAUACCGCAUAACGUCGCAAGACCAAAGAGGGGGACCUUCGGGCCUCUUGCCAUCAGAUGUGCCCAGAUGGGAUUAGCUUGUUGGUGAGGUAACGGCUCACCAAGGCGACGAUCCCUAGCUGGUCUGAGAGGAUGACCAGCCACACUGGAACUGAGACACGGUCCAGACUCCUACGGGAGGCAGCAGUGGGGAAUAUUGCACAAUGGGCGCAAGCCUGAUGCAGCCAUGCCGCGUGUAUGAAGAAGGCCUUCGGGUUGUAAAGUACUUUCAGCGGGGAGGAAGGUGUUGUGGUUAAUAACCGCAGCAAUUGACGUUACCCGCAGAAGAAGCACCGGCUAACUCCGUGCCAGCAGCCGCGGUAAUACGGAGGGUGCAAGCGUUAAUCGGAAUUACUGGGCGUAAAGCGCACGCAGGCGGUCUGUCAAGUCGGAUGUGAAAUCCCCGGGCUCAACCUGGGAACUGCAUUCGAAACUGGCAGGCUUGAGUCUUGUAGAGGGGGGUAGAAUUCCAGGUGUAGCGGUGAAAUGCGUAGAGAUCUGGAGGAAUACCGGUGGCGAAGGCGGCCCCCUGGACAAAGACUGACGCUCAGGUGCGAAAGCGUGGGGAGCAAACAGGAUUAGAUACCCUGGUAGUCCACGCCGUAAACGAUGUCUACUUGGAGGUUGUGCCCUUGAGGCGUGGCUUCCGGAGCUAACGCGUUAAGUAGACCGCCUGGGGAGUACGGCCGCAAGGUUAAAACUCAAAUGAAUUGACGGGGGCCCGCACAAGCGGUGGAGCAUGUGGUUUAAUUCGAUGCAACGCGAAGAACCUUACCUGGUCUUGACAUCCACGGAAGAAUCCAGAGAUGGAUUUGUGCCUUCGGGAACCGUGAGACAGGUGCUGCAUGGCUGUCGUCAGCUCGUGUUGUGAAAUGUUGGGUUAAGUCCCGCAACGAGCGCAACCCUUAUCCUUUGUUGCCAGCGGUCCGGCCGGGAACUCAAAGGAGACUGCCAGUGAUAAACUGGAGGAAGGUGGGGAUGACGUCAAGUCAUCAUGGCCCUUACGACCAGGGCUACACACGUGCUACAAUGGCGCAUACAAAGAGAAGCGACCUCGCGAGAGCAAGCGGACCUCAUAAAGUGCGUCGUAGUCCGGAUUGGAGUCUGCAACUCGACUCCAUGAAGUCGGAAUCGCUAGUAAUCGUGGAUCAGAAUGCCACGGUGAAUACGUUCCCGGGCCUUGUACACACCGCCCGUCACACCAUGGGAGUGGGUUGCAAAAGAAGUAGGUAGCUUAACCUUCGGGAGGGCGCUUACCACUUUGUGAUUCAUGACUGGGGUGAAGUCGUAACAAGGUAACCGUAGGGGAACCUGCGGUUGGAUCACCU